GAUGAACGCUGGCGGCGUGCCUAAUACAUGCAAGUCGAGCGAACGGACGAGAAGCUUGCUUCUCUGAUGUUAGCGGCGGACGGGUGAGUAACACGUGGAUAACCUACCUAUAAGACUGGGAUAACUUCGGGAAACCGGAGCUAAUACCGGAUAAUAUUUUGAACCGCAUGGUUCAAAAGUGAAAGACGGUCUUGCUGUCACUUAUAGAUGGAUCCGCGCUGCAUUAGCUAGUUGGUAAGGUAACGGCUUACCAAGGCAACGAUGCAUAGCCGACCUGAGAGGGUGAUCAGCCACACUGGAACUGAGACACGGUCCAGACUCCUACGGGAGGCAGCAGUAGGGAAUCUUCCGCAAUGGGCGAAAGCCUGACGGAGCAACGCCGCGUGAGUGAUGAAGGUCUUCGGAUCGUAAAACUCUGUUAUUAGGGAGGAACAUAUGUGUGAGUAACUGUGCACAUCUUGACGGUACCUAAUCAGAAAGCCACGGCUAACUACGUG
RNAcentral lists this ribosomal RNA (497 nucleotides) under uncultured bacterium. RNAcentral's name for it is "partial 16S ribosomal RNA". It matches the Rfam family "Bacterial small subunit ribosomal RNA", at positions 28 to 507 of the family's 1533-position model. The record is from RNAcentral.